RNAcentral lists this ribosomal RNA (434 nucleotides) under uncultured Lachnospiraceae bacterium. RNAcentral describes it as "bacterial SSU rRNA". It matches the Rfam family "Bacterial small subunit ribosomal RNA", at positions 341 to 792 of the family's 1533-position model. Lineage: Bacteria; Bacillati; Bacillota; Clostridia; Lachnospirales; Lachnospiraceae. The record is from RNAcentral.
ACGGAAGGCAGCAGUGAGGAAUAUUGCACAAUGGGGGAAACCCUGAUGCAGCGACGCCGCGUGAGUGAAGAAGUAUUUCGGUAUGUAAAGCUCUAUCAGCAGGGAAGAAAAUGACGGUACCUGCAUAAGAAGCCCCGGCUAGCUACGUGCCAGCAGCCGCGGUAAUACGUAGGGGGCAAGCGUUAUCCGGAUUUACUGGGUGUAAAGGGAGCGUAGACGGCAUGGCAAGUCUGAAGUGAAAGCUCGGGGCUCAACCCCGGAACUGCUUUGGAAACUGUCAGGCUAGAGUAUCGGAGAGGUAAGCGGAAUUCCUAGUGUAGCGGUGAAAUGCGUAGAUAUUAGGAGGAACACCAGUGGCGAAGGCGGCUUACUGGACGAUAACUGACGUUGAGGCUCGAAAGCGUGGGGAGCAAACAGGAUUAGAUACCCUGGUA